CUUUUACUGAACCUCAAUAUUAAGGCACGCCUGCCCAGUGAAUAUUUAACGGCCGCGGUACCCUAACCGUGCAAAGGUAGCAUAAUCAUUUGUCUAUUAAUUGUAGACCGGCAUGAACGGCAAAAUGAGGGUCUAACUGUCUCUUAUAGUAAAUCAAUUAAACUGAUCUCCUAGUAAAAAAGCUAGGAUAAUAACAUAAGACCAGAAGACCCUGUGAAGCUUAAACUAAACCAUUAAAUCAAAUAAUGAUUACUUUCGGUUGGGGCGACCCUGGAAAAAAAAAGAACUUCCAAUCUGUGUACCUACACAAUAGGCCCACAAGCCACACACUUGACCCAGCACAGCUGAUAAUCGAACCAAGUUACUCCAGGGAUAACAGCGCCAUCUUCUUCAAGAGCCCAUAUCAAAAAGAAGGUUUACGACCUCGAUGUUGGAUCAGGACAUCCUAAUGGUGUAGCCGCUAUCAAGGGUUCGUUUGUUCAACGAUUAACAGUCCUACGUGAUCUGAGUUCAGACCGGAGA
This 522-nucleotide ribosomal RNA is filed under the name Pseudoxenodon macrops. RNAcentral's name for it is "partial 16S ribosomal RNA". It matches the Rfam family "Bacterial large subunit ribosomal RNA", at positions 1829 to 2622 of the family's 2925-position model. Lineage: Eukaryota; Metazoa; Chordata; Lepidosauria; Squamata; Pseudoxenodontidae. The record is from RNAcentral.